Molecule: ribosomal RNA, 1381 nt
Filed under: uncultured bacterium
Lineage: Bacteria
Description: bacterial SSU rRNA
Rfam family: Bacterial small subunit ribosomal RNA
Source: RNAcentral
CCUGGCUCAGGAUGAACGCUAGCUACAGGCUUAACACAUGCAAGUCGAGGGGCAGCAUGGUCUUAGCUUGCUAAGGCCGAUGGCGACCGGCGCACGGGUGAGUAACACGUAUCCAACCUGCCGUCUACUCUUGGACAGCCUUCUGAAAGGAAGAUUAAUACAAGAUGGCAUCAUGAGUCCGCAUGUUCACAUGAUUAAAGGUAUUCCGGUAGACGAUGGGGAUGCGUUCCAUUAGAUAGUAGGCGGGGUAACGGCCCACCUAGUCUUCGAUGGAUAGGGGUUCUGAGAGGAAGGUCCCCCACAUUGGAACUGAGACACGGUCCAAACUCCUACGGGAGGCAGCAGUGAGGAAUAUUGGUCAAUGGGCGAGAGCCUGAACCAGCCAAGUAGCGUGAAGGAUGACUGCCCUAUGGGUUGUAAACUUCUUUUAUAAAGGAAUAAAGUCGGGUAUGGAUACCCGUUUGCAUGUACUUUAUGAAUAAGGAUCGGCUAACUCCGUGCCAGCAGCCGCGGUAAUACGGAGGAUCCGAGCGUUAUCCGGAUUUAUUGGGUUUAAAGGGAGCGUAGAUGGAUGUUUAAGUCAGUUGUGAAAGUUUGCGGCUCAACCGUAAAAUUGCAGUUGAUACUGGAUAUCUUGAGUGCAGUUGAGGCAGGCGGAAUUCGUGGUGUAGCGGUGAAAUGCUUAGAUAUCACGAAGAACUCCGAUUGCGAAGGCAGCCUGCUAAGCUGCAACUGACAUUGAGGCUCGAAAGUGUGGGUAUCAAACAGGAUUAGAUACCCUGGUAGUCCACACGGUAAACGAUGAAUACUCGCUGUUUGCGAUAUACUGCAAGCGGCCAAGCGAAAGCGUUAAGUAUUCCACCUGGGGAGUACGCCGGCAACGGUGAAACUCAAAGGAAUUGACGGGGGCCCGCACAAGCGGAGGAACAUGUGGUUUAAUUCGAUGAUACGCGAGGAACCCUACCCGGGCUUAAAUUGCAGAUGAAUUACGGUGAAAGCCGUAAGCCGCAAGGCAUCUGUGAAGGUGCUGCAUGGUUGUCGUCAGCUCGUGCCGUGAGGUGUCGGCUUAAGUGCCAUAACGAGCGCAACCCUUGUUGUCAGUUACUAACAGGUUCCGCUGAGGACUCUGACAAGACUGCCAUCGUAAGAUGUGAGGAAGGUGGGGAUGACGUCAAAUCAGCACGGCCCUUACGUCCGGGGCUACACACGUGUUACAAUGGGGGGUACAGAGGGCCGCUACCACGCGAGUGGAUGCCAAUCCCCAAAACCUCUCUCAGUUCGGACUGGAGUCUGCAACCCGACUCCACGAAGCUGGAUUCGCUAGUAAUCGCGCAUCAGCCACGGCGCGGUGAAUACGUUCCCGGGCCUUGUACACACCGCC